RNAcentral lists this ribosomal RNA (276 nucleotides) under Triticum aestivum (bread wheat). RNAcentral's name for it is "partial small subunit ribosomal RNA". Lineage: Eukaryota; Viridiplantae; Streptophyta; Magnoliopsida; Poales; Poaceae. The record is from RNAcentral.
GUCGUGUGCAACAUCCACGCCGGCACCAAGGCGCUGCAGCUGACGCAGUGGGAGAGCAACCACGGCAACAUCAUCAAGGGGGAAGGGUACCUGGACUUCAUCAACCGGUGCUGCUUCAAGGAGAAUGACGUGGUCGAGAUCUGGGCCUUCAAGGAGCGCUACUUCCACCUCUUCGGCGUCGACAUGUGCCAUGCGAGCCCGCUCUACGUUGUGCUGGCCAAGAAAGAGCAGCGGCCGGCGGCAUCGUCCAUGGGGAUGGCCAAGUGUACUAUGUAG